This is a non-coding RNA of Pelobates cultripes (western spadefoot toad), 365 nucleotides long. The record is from the annotation of a GenBank genome assembly. Lineage: Eukaryota; Metazoa; Chordata; Amphibia; Anura; Pelobatidae.
CCAAAAUAAACCACAUCCAAACAGUUAUCACAGUGAUAGGGGGAGACUUCAAUCACAUAAUAGACCCGCAACUAGACACAACCCUACCACCCCACCGGAAACAUCACCGCCCCUAAAAAGACAAUGAAGAGCUAUAGCGAAACUCCUACACGAUUACCAUCUAUAUGAUGCUUGGAGAAUCACACACCCGACAGAAAGGGUAUAUACCCACUACUCAGCUGUACAUAAUUCCUACUCUAAAAUAGACGGAUUCCUUAUCUCAGACUCAGCGCUAGACCAACUCCUACACAGUGACAUACAGCAAAUCACAUGGUCCGACCAUGCACCAGUAACCAUAGAAUUAAAAAAUAAUUACGACUUUAAAC